RNAcentral lists this ribosomal RNA (365 nucleotides) under uncultured bacterium. RNAcentral describes it as "bacterial SSU rRNA". It matches the Rfam family "Bacterial small subunit ribosomal RNA", at positions 30 to 396 of the family's 1533-position model. The record is from RNAcentral.
AUUGAACGCUGGCGGCAUGCCUUACACAUGCAAGUCGAACGGCAGCACGGGGGCAACCCUGGUGGCGAGUGGCGAACGGGUGAGUAACAUAUCGGAACAUACCCUAGAGUGGGGAUAACGUAGCGAAAGUUACGCUAAUACCGCAUACGAUCUAAGGAUGAAAGUGGGGGAUCUUCGGACCUCAUGCUCAUGGAGUGGCCGAUAUCUGAUUAGCUAGUUGGUGAGGUAAAGGCUCACCAAGGCGACGAUCAGUAGCUGGUUUGAGAGAACGACCAGCCACACUGGAACUGAGACACGGUCCAGACUCCUACGGGAGGCAGCAGUGGGGAAUUUUGGACAAUGGGGGCAACCCUGAUCCAGCAAUG